CGGAUCGUAGCUCAGUCUGGCAGAGCGCUGCCUUGGGGUGGCAGAGGCCGCCGGUUCAAGUCCGGCCGAUCCGACCA
Molecule: transfer RNA, 77 nt
Filed under: Planctomycetota bacterium
Lineage: Bacteria; Pseudomonadati; Planctomycetota
Description: Planctomycetes bacterium (activated sludge metagenome) tRNA-Pro
Rfam family: tRNA
About the family: Transfer RNA (tRNA) molecules are approximately 80 nucleotides in length. Their secondary structure includes four short double-helical elements and three loops (D, anti-codon, and T loops).
Source: RNAcentral